GGGGUGGGUGCUUGUUUUCUCUUCAACAGGUAUUUGGCACAUUGAUCUCCGCCCAUAGUGAGAGACUUGAAGAGGUACCCAGUCUGUAAGUUUGCAACAGUAAUAAUACACUUAAUUCUGUGAGUCUGGUUGCUUGCUUUUAUGUAAGGUAAUAGUCUAGAUAGUUACCUUUGGUUGACGUGGGGGCAUUUAAAUGUGGGAUAAGCUGUUUGGUUCCUCUCCAGCAGGUGUUGUGUGACGAGUUGUGUACUGUGGCCCGUUAGGAAUUGGUAACCAACUUUGGACAACUUGAAAGAGGAGUAUCGUAGGGGGAUUUAGAGCCAAUCGUGAGGUAACAGUUAGAUUGGCUACUUUGUGAGUAUGUGGCUUUGUGUUUAAUGAACAUCACAGAUGUGUGUUGUCACCGUGAGCAUUAGUUCAUGGGGUGACAGGCUAUUAAUUCUCUGGUUGCAGGAAUAUGCUGUAGUGUGUUAUUAGAUGUAAAGGAUGCAAGUAGUAGCCUUCUUGAAGACAAUCUUAGUGAACAUGCAAAUGGCUCAUCAGUAAGCUAAAGGUGUGUACAAGGAGCGACUGUGAAACUGACAUCUGCGGAGUACGACGAUGGAUGCAUUUGGCGGUAUGAGGGAAGAAUGGGAACAAAGUUCCAUUGCGGCAUUUGACUUGCGACAGGUUCGAGAUUACUUGAGAGCACUACUAGAACAUAGCAUAUAACCGGAUAGAGGUAAUGAUAUAAGUUUGUUUAUUCAUUGUGAUUUUUAGUUUUGGAAUCGCCAGUGAGGACUGGUUGUGGUUUUUCUGUCGUUAGGGGUGUUUGGACCUGUCACAGAUUGCUGUGGCAGGUGAGAGCGUUUCAUGACUUUCUAAUUGCAGAUGCUGUAAGAGAAUUGGCCUUUGAUUGCCAGGAUUAACUGCAUUUCGUGGAAGGAUUUUCUCCCAGCGAACAUGUAAGCCUGUAUAAAUUUGUUAUGCCAAAUUGAUGUAAUUGUGCAACUGCUAUAGGUAUGCUGCAAACGUGCUAGAAUUAUAUCAUUAAAAUGAUUUGGUUGGAUAUAGUGACUCCUUGCUAUGCAGCUGGGUGGGUGUGGAUGUUUGUGUGAAGUGUGUUGCAGGAGCAAGCAGGAUUAUAUUUUGUGCAUGUUGGAACGUGACACGGCAGCCAAAGGAUGUGCGAAAGGAUGGCAGCUGCUUUGUAGUAAGCCUACUCAGUCAUUAAUGCAUGCAUCCACAUAUCUUCUGGUUAAAGCCAAGUCAUGCGAUUGGGUGGAGAUAGAAGAAGUCUGCCCUUGUUAUAGUGUAUGGCAUAUGUGGCAUUUUCUGAUUGCAGGUUAGCCGAAUAGCUUAUGUAGCUUAUUGAUUGUAUAUUGAACAGUUUUGAAUCUCUGUGUGGAUGUCACAACAGGCACAGUACGUAAUUAUGUUUUGUAAUGGCAGUGGAUAAUACAUGGUUCAUUGUGACACUCGCUAAGAGUGUCAAAUGAUUGGAGAAGCUAAUUUUGCAUUAUGGGGUGUUUCUUUAUUGAUUGGUGAAAUUGAGCACUGUUGAUUUGUCUGCAAUGGGUGGGUGCUUGUUUUCUCUUCAACAGGUAUUUGGCACAUUGAUCUCCGCCCAUAGUGAGAGACUUGAAGAGGUACCCAGUCUGUAAGUUUGCAACAGCAAUAAUACACUUAAUUCUGUGAGUCUAGUUGCUUGCUUUGAUGUAAGGUAAUAGUCUAGAUAGUUACCCUUGGUUGACGUGGGGGCAUUUAAAUGUGGGAUAAGCUGUUUGGUUCCUCUCCAGCAGGUGUUGUGUGACGAGUUGUGUACUGUGGCCCGUUAGGAAUGGGUAACCAACUUUGGACAACUUGAAAGAGGAGUAUCGUAGGGGGAUUUAGAGCCAAUCGUGAGGUAACAGUUAGAUUGGCUACUUUGUGAGUAUGUGGCUUUGUGUGUUUAAUGAACAUCGCAGAUGUGUGUUGUCACCGUGAGCAUUAGUUCAUGGGGUGACAGGCUAUUAAUUCUCUGGUUGCAGGAAUAUGCUGUAGUGUGUUAUUAGAUGUAAAGGAUGCAAGUAGUAGCCUUCUUGAAGACAAUCUUAGUGAACAUGCAAAUGGGUCAUCAGUAAGCUAAAGGUGUGUACAAGGAGCGACUGUGAAACUGACAUCUGCGGAGUACGACGAUGGAUGUAUUUCGCGGUAUGAGGGAAGAAUGGGAACAAAGUUCCAUUGCGGCAUUUGACUUGCGACAGGUUCGAGAUUACUUGAGAGCGCUACUAGAACAUAGCAUAUAACCGGAUAGAGGUAAUGAUAUAAGUUUGUUUAUUCAUUGUGAUUUUUAGUUUUGGAAUCGCCAGUGAGGACUGGUUGUGGUUUUUCUGUCCUUAGGGGUGUUUGGACCUGUCACAGAUUGCUGUGGCAGGUGAGAGCGUUUCAUGACUUUCUAAUUGCAGAUGCUGUAAGAGAAUUGGCCUUUGAUUGCCAGGAUUAACUGCAUUUCGUGGAAGGAUUUUCUCCCAGCGAACAUGUAAGCCUGUAUAAUUCUGUUAUGCCAAAUUGAUGUAAUUGUGCAACUGCUAUAGGUAAUGCUACAAACUUGCUAGAUUUAUAUCAUUAAAGUGAUUUUAUUGGUUAUAGUGACUCCUUGCUAUGCAGCUGGGUGGGUGUGGGUGUUUGUGUGCGGUGUGUUGCAGGAGCAAGCAGGAUUAUGUUUUGUGCAUGUCAGAACAUGACAUGGCAGCUGAAGGAUGUGCGAUAGGAUGGCAGCUGCUUUGUAGUAAGCCUACUCAGUCAUUAAUGUGUGCAUCCACAUAUCUUCUGGUUACAGCCAAGUCAUGUGAUUGGAUGGAGUUAUAAGAUCAUGAUCUGGACUCACAGUGAAGAACAACUCUAGAAUUUCCUCUUCAACCUCAACUCCUUUGGUUCCAUCAGAUUCACCUGGUCCUACUCCAAAUCCCAUGGCACUUUCCUUGACGUUGACCUUGACCUCCAUCUGUCAAAUGGCCAAGUUCACACUUCCGUCCACAACAAACCCACCAACAAGCAACAGUACCUCCAUUUUGACAGCUGCCACCCAUUCCGUAUGAAACGAUCUCUUCCCUACAGCUUUGGUCUUCGUGGCAAACGAAUCUGCUCCAGUCCUAAAUCCCUGAACCAUUACACCAAUAACCUGAAAACAGCUUUCGCAUCUGGCAACUGCCCUCCCGACCUGGUACAGAAGCAAAUAACCAGAGCCACUUCCUCAUCCCCUCAAACGCGGAACCUCCCACAGAAGAACCCCAAAAGUGCCCCAUUUUUCACAGGAUACUUUCCAGGACUGGAUCAGACUCUGAAUGUGGCUCUCCAGCAGGGAUACGAUCCCCUCAAAUCCUGCAUGCAGUGAGAUGCAUCCUUCAUGAAAUCCUCCCCACUCCACCAAGAAUGUCUUUCUGCCGUCCACCUAACCUUCGUAACCUCUUAGUACAUCCCUAUGAAAUCCCCAAACCACCUUCCCUACCCUUUGGCUCCUACUCUUGUAACUGCCCCCGGUUUAAGACCUGUCCCAUGCACCAUCCCACUACUAACUACUCCAGUCCUGUAACCCAGAAGUUGUACACGAUCAAAGGCAGAGCCACGUGCGAAAGCACCUGUGAUUUACCAACUGACAUGCCUACACUGUGUAGCGUUCUAUGUAGGAAUGACCAGCAACAAACUGUCCAUUCGCAUGAACGGACACAGGCAGACAGUGUUUGUUGGUAAUGAGGAUCACCCUGUGGCUAAACAUGCCUUGGUGCACGGCCAGCACAUCUUGGCACAGUGUUACACCGUCCGGGUUAUCUGGAUACUUCCCACUGACACCAACCUAUCAGGACUCCGAGGAUGGGAACUUGCCCUUCAAUAUAUUCUCUCCUCCCGUUACCCACCAGGCCUCAACCUCCGCUAAUUUCAAGUUGCCGCCCCUCGUUCCUCACCUGUCAUUCAACAACAUCUUUGCCUUUGUACAUCCACCUCGACUGACAUCUCUGCCCAACCUCUUUACAUUUACAUAUGUCUGCCUGUGUCAUGUGCGGAUGGAUAUGUGUGUGUGAGUGUAUACCUGUCCUUUUUUCCCCCUAAGGUAAGUCCUUCCACGCCCGGGAUUGAGUUGACUCCUUACCCUCUCCCUUAAAACCCACAUCCUUUCGUCUUUCCCUCUCCUUCCCUCUUUCCUGAAGAAGCAACCUUAGGUUGCGAAAGCUCGAUAUUUGUGUGUGUGUGUGUGUGUUUAUGUGUUUUUUAUUGUCUCCUAUCAACUUACCAACGCAUUCGUUUGGUAAGUUACACCAUCUUGGUGUUUUAUAUAUAAUUCACGCAGCUGUGUUUGCAAGAUGAUGGAAUGUAUGACUCAUGCGUGGCUGGUAUGGUGGCUUGUAAUUUACUAACCACUGCACAAUGUGGAUUUAAAGCGCACAAUUUUGCAGUUGACCAUCUCGUCACUUUGUCCACCCGUGUCAUGAAUGGUUUUCUGUGGAAAUCCCAGGCUGUGGGCGUUUUUCCAUUUGGAGAAAGCUUAAGACACCUGCUGAAGGACUGAUAUCAUCCUCCAUACUCUCUACAUGUGGGGCUUCUGUGGCUGCCUGCCCCAUUUUCUUCAGGAAUUUUUGAAAAGACCGAGUUUUCAAAGUAAGUAUGGGUUCUGCCUUGUUGGGCACCUUUAUCCAGCAAAAUGGUGUGCCUCGGGGUUCCGUACUGAGCAUCAUCAUCUUUGCUAUCGCCAUUAACCCUAUAAUGGCCUGUCUCCCACCGGGCAUCAUCUCCGGCUCCCUUUUCGUUGAUGACUUUGCUAUCUAUUGCAGCUCUUCACAGACUUGUCUCAUUGAGCAGCAUCUUCAGCAGUGUCUUGCUAGUCUUUACUUAUGGAACAUCGACAAUGGCUUUCGUUUUUCCACUGACAAAAUCAGUGCAAUUGGUUUCUCCCAUCAUCUCUACAUCUUGGGCCUGUUGCUCAUCAAAACUACGAAAUUCCUUGGGCUCCUGUUCGAUAGGAAAAACUCUUGGUUCUCCCACAUGUCUUACCUGACAGCCAACUGUCCGUGGUCCCUCAAUGUCCUACAUGUCCUCAAUGUUACUUUCUGGGUGCUGAUCAAACCAUCCUCCUCCUUUUGUACCGGUCCCUUGUCCAUUCAAAAAUAAACUGUGCAUGCUUUGUUUAUGCAUCUGCCCAUCCAUCCCUCCUACACUGUCUUAAUACUGUUCACCGUCGUGGCCUCCAUUUGGCCACUGUCAUCUUUUAAAUUAGCCCAGUUGAGAGUCUGUAUGCAGAAGCUGUCGAACUUUCAGUUGAGAGUCUGUAUGCAGAAGCUGCCGAACUACUAUUGUCCUGCCGCCAUGACUUUCGCCUCAGUAGGUGCGCGUGCCGUUUGUCUGCCAUGCAUGAUCACCUAUCAUAUGCCCCCUUCUUCAAUGACUCCUUGAUCGCCAGUACGGGCGCGUCCCUGACAGGGAAUAAUGCUAAAACUUGUCUUGGAAAUCAUGGAAAUAUCAGGGAAUUUCACGUGGGGAAACUUGUGGCAACCGUGAUUUGGCUGGCAUGCAGAACUCUGCCCGUUGUGAGAGACUUGAAGAGCUGCCCGUUUGGUAAGUUUGUAACAGUAAUAAUAUUAGAUACUUUGUUGUAAGGUAUUAGUCUAGAUAGUUACCCUUGGUUGACAUGGGGGCAUUUAAAUGUGGGAUAAGCUAUUUGGUUCCUCUCCAGCAGGUGGCGUGUGGCGAGUUGUGCACCGUGGCUCUUAGGAAUUCCUAAUCAAAGUUGGACAACUUGAAAGGAGAGCAUGGUUGUGGGAUUUAGAGCCAGCCAUGAGGAAACGAUUACAAUGCUGACUUUUUGAUGCACUAUUAGUAAAGGGAGAAAGUAUGAGCCUUCUUGAAGAUGAUGAUACUGAACAAGUAAAUGUGUCAUCAGGAAGCCAAAGUUGGUUAUUAAGAGGAAUUGCUAAAUGCGACAUUUGCCCAGUAUGACCAUGGAUUUAUUUGACAGUAUGAGGGAUGUAUGUGAACAUAGUUCCAUAGGAAUAUUUGACUUGAGACAUGAUAAAUUUCUUGCGAGUGCUACAAGAAUGAUAGGUAUGGCUGAGGAGAGUGGUGGUUGGGCCUGUCACGGACUGCUGCAAGGAAGAAAUUUUUCUCUUUCUAAUUGCUAUGCUCAUAUGAUGUAACGAGCUUUAUCACUAAAGGCCUCAAGAAAUCUAAUUUUCGAGAUGGGAUAAAAGCAUUGAAACGUCACCGAACCAAGGGUAUUAGUGUAGUGGGAGACUGCCUUGAAAAAUAAAAAAAUUUUCACUGAGGUUCCUGUAUUAUGUCCUGAAAUAAUAUCUUGUGGGCGACAGAAAUAGUCCCAGUUCCAUUUUUUGUCGUGGAGUGUCAUUUAACAUGUUGAAAUCAACUGUCCAUAUUGCCUUUUAAUCAAAGCUGUAACAUUUGUAACACUGCCUUCAGUUGUUAUUGUUGAUAUUUUACUGUGUUUGGAAAUUGUACCUCCAUGCCUUAUGGAAAUAACUUCAUUAAUGUUAAUUAAGCUUUAUUUGUUAGUAAUUAAUUUUAAAUGUGUAAUUUUGUCAUUUGCUACUCUUGUUCAUUAUCAGGUUACAUGUGUGUGAAACUUUGUAGAUUACAUUAAAGAUAUGUCUGAAGAAAAGUUAAAGCAAUAAAUUUUUUUAGUAAUUGUA
Long non-coding RNA from Schistocerca serialis cubense, 6656 nucleotides. RefSeq lists it as uncharacterized. The transcript has 6 exons. Lineage: Eukaryota; Metazoa; Arthropoda; Insecta; Orthoptera; Acrididae. The record is from RefSeq and is a predicted model, not a curated record.